GAGUUUGAUCCUGGCUCAGGAUGAACGCUAGCGGCAGGCCUAAUACAUGCAAGUCGAGGGGCAGCACAGGUAGCAAUACCGGGUGGCGACCGGCAAACGGGUGCGGAACACGUACGCAACCUUCCUCUGAGUGGGGAAUAGCCCGAAGAAAUUCGGAUUAAUACCCCGUAAUAUUGUUAGGUGGCAUCACCUGACAAUUAAAGAACUUCGCUUAGAGAUGGGCGUGCGUCUGAUUAGGUAGUUGGUGAGGUAACGGCUCACCAAGCCGAUGAUCAGUAACUGGCGUGAGAGCGCGACCAGUCACACGGGCACUGAGACACGGGCCCGACUCCUACGGGAGGCAGCAGUAAGGAAUAUUGGUCAAUGGACGCAAGUCUGAACCAGCCAUGCCGCGUGAAGGAUGAAGGUCCUCUGGAUUGUAAACUUCUUUUAUCUGGGAAGAAACCACUUUUAUCUAAAGGUGUUGACGGUACCAGAGGAAUAAGCACCGGCUAACUCCGUGCCAGCAGCCGUGGUAAUACGGAGGGUGCAAGCGUUAUCCGGAUUCACUGGGUUUAAAGGGUGCGUAGGCGGAUUUGUAAGUCCGUGGUGAAAUCUCCAGGCUUAACCUGGAAACUGCCGUGGAUACUAUAAAUCUUGAAUGUUGUGGAGGUUAGCGGAAUAUGUCAUGUAGCGGUGAAAUGCAUAGAUAUGACAUAGAACACCAAUUGCGAAGGCAGCUGGCUACACAAAUAUUGACGCUG
RNAcentral lists this ribosomal RNA (743 nucleotides) under uncultured bacterium. RNAcentral describes it as "bacterial SSU rRNA". It matches the Rfam family "Bacterial small subunit ribosomal RNA", at positions 9 to 748 of the family's 1533-position model. The record is from RNAcentral.